AGUGAACGCUGGCGGUAGGCCUAACACAUGCAAGUCGAACGGCAGCACAGUAAGAGCUUGCUCUUACGGGUGGCGAGUGGCGGACGGGAGAGGAAUAUAUCGGAAUCUACUUUUUCGUGGGGGAUAACGUAGGGAAACUUACGCUAAUACCGCAUACGACCUACGGGUGAAAGCAGUGGAUCUUCGGACCUUGCGCGAUUGAAUGAGCCGAUGUCGGAUUAGCUAGUUGGCGGGGUAAAGGCCCACCAAGGCGACGAUCCGUAGCUGGUCUGAGAGGAUGAUCAGCCACACUGGAACUGAGACACGGUCCAGACUCCUACGGGAGGCAGCAGUGGGGAAUAUUGGACAAUGGGCGCAAGCCUGAUCCAGCCAUACCGCGUGGGUGAAGAAGGCCUUCGGGUUGUAAAGCCCUUUUGUUGGGAAAGAAAAGCAGCAGGUUAAUACCCCGCUGUUCUGACGGUACCCAAAGAAUAAGCACCGGCUAACUUCGUG
Molecule: ribosomal RNA, 492 nt
Filed under: uncultured bacterium
Lineage: Bacteria
Description: partial 16S ribosomal RNA
Rfam family: Bacterial small subunit ribosomal RNA
Source: RNAcentral